CCACAGAUGUAUUGUCCAUUCUGCGGCUCUGCACUGAUGGCGUCUCCUGCAUUUUGUUGUCUGUGUGGCAGAAACAUCAGUUUUUUUAAAUGAUCUGCCAAACAAUGUCCCUCCUGAUGUCCCUCCUAUUGCACCUCCUGAUCCACAGCCUAGCACUAGUACAGGUUCAUCAUUACAUGUACAGUCCUUUAUGACAUUUAGGGCAAUAAAGGAGAGGGAAAGAAAGACAUUCUUUCGGAAAACACAGAACUCUAAAAACAAGAACUCUAUGGAACAUAAACCAGUAAAGAUUAAUGUUGGAGUUAUGAGGAUGCAAGGUGACUCCCUUAAACCUGUGAGAGGGAAGUCACUUCCUGUUGAUAUUCAACCACAGUACUCAUCGUAACAAUUGCUGGCUGCUGCUGUAAAGAAGCAAAAAGAUUUCAACCAGGAUAUGGAAGAUUGUACUCAUGUUUUAUUAUAUCCUGAUGCUAAGGAAGUUACAAGCAUCCCAGGAACGGACACCCCUUUCACAGUACAGAAAUACAAGGAGGCUAUUGGAAAGUCCUACCAAAGAAUAACGUUGUACAUUUGCAGUGCUGAGGACUUUGCAAACAGUUGUAAGUAAACAUCUUCCAUCUUAAUCAGGGUGUCCGCAACGUUUUAAAAAGUGAUUAAUCAAAAUCGACAAGUUUAAGGCCAUUAAAAGGUGUUUAAUUUGGUUUAGAGGUAUUAUUUUUUUAAAUAGGUAUUUUUUCAGACUGUGGUGUCCUAUUCUGAUUGAAAUGCUAUCUGCUAAAGUUUGCAGUAGUUCGUUUAAAUGCGGGCUUUAGCAUAUCGGGGCACAUAAUCAAAGAUCCUCGUGUAGUCUCAACUUUGUGUUUGAUUCCGACGUCAUAUUCAGUGGUCGUUCGACAUCUCAAAUACUUGGCUAGCUUACAUUGUUGACUAGUCCAGACAACCAUCGUCGUCGUCAUGGGCAAAUGCAAGUUUUCUGACAGCUGGAUGGAAGACCCAGCAUUUAAGGACUGGCUCAGGCCUGCAGUAGGGAAUAACCGGCAGGCUUAUUGUUCGGUUUGUAAAAAAAAAAAAAAAA
This is a long non-coding RNA of Monopterus albus (swamp eel), 1075 nucleotides long. RefSeq lists it as uncharacterized. The record is from RefSeq and is a predicted model, not a curated record. NCBI's taxonomy places the organism in Eukaryota, Metazoa, Chordata, Actinopteri, Synbranchiformes, Synbranchidae. The transcript has 3 exons.